UGAGUUAUUAGCUCAGUUGGUAGAGCAUCUGACUUUUAAUCAGAGGGUCGCAGGUUCGAGCCCUGCAUAACUCAUC
This 76-nucleotide transfer RNA is filed under the name Trichococcus palustris. It matches the Rfam family "tRNA". From Rfam's summary of the family: Transfer RNA (tRNA) molecules are approximately 80 nucleotides in length. The record is from RNAcentral. Lineage: Bacteria; Bacillati; Bacillota; Bacilli; Lactobacillales; Carnobacteriaceae.